AAAAAACAAAAUAAAAAAAAUCGUGCUAGGAAAAAAAAGAAAAAUGUAAGGAAAAAAUAAAAAAUAAAAUAAAAUAAAUGUAAAAGAAAGAAGAGAAAAAUAGAAGGGCAUCCAAGGGGUGUUAGGUGGCAUCUACGGUGCUCUUUGACUAAAAUAUAAUAUUAAAAAAUAAAAUAAAAUACAAUGUGAAAGAAAGAAAAGAGAAAAAUGGAAGGAAAAAAGAUAAAAUAAAAAUAAAAUAAAUUGUAAAAGAAAAAAAAGG
Molecule: long non-coding RNA, 262 nt
Filed under: Ananas comosus (pineapple)
Lineage: Eukaryota; Viridiplantae; Streptophyta; Magnoliopsida; Poales; Bromeliaceae
Description: long non-coding RNA (ACOM_LNC010618)
Source: RNAcentral